This 433-nucleotide ribosomal RNA is filed under the name uncultured bacterium. RNAcentral describes it as "partial 16S ribosomal RNA". It matches the Rfam family "Bacterial small subunit ribosomal RNA", at positions 29 to 507 of the family's 1533-position model. The record is from RNAcentral.
AACGAACGCUGGCGGCAUGCCUAACACAUGCAAGUCGAACGAGACCUUCGGGUCUAGUGGCGCACGGGUGCGUAACGCGUGGGAACCUGCCCUUAGGUUCGGAAUAACUCCCCGAAAGGGGUGCUAAUACCGGAUAAUGUCUUCGGACCAAAGAUUUAUCGCGUUUGGAUGGGCCCGCGUUGGAUUAGCUAGUUGGUAGGGUAAAAGCCUACCAAGGCGACGAUCCAUAGCUGGUCUGAGAGGAUGAUCAGCCCCACUGGGACUGAGACACGGCCCAGACUCCUACGGGAGGCAGCAGUGGGGAAUAUUGGACGAUGGGCGAAAGCCUGAUCCAGCAGUGCCGCGUGAGUGAUGAAGGCCUUAGGGUUGUAAAGCUCUUUUACCCGGGAUGAUAAUGACAGUACCGGGAGAAUAAGCUCCGGCUAACUCCGUG